RNAcentral lists this ribosomal RNA (1376 nucleotides) under bacterium. RNAcentral's name for it is "bacterial SSU rRNA". It matches the Rfam family "Bacterial small subunit ribosomal RNA". The record is from RNAcentral.
GCCGAGCGGUAGAGAUCUUUCGGGAUCUUGAGAGCGGCGUACGGGUGCGGAACACGUGUGCAACCUGCCUUUAUCUGGGGGAUAGCCUUUCGAAAGGAAGAUUAAUACCCCAUAAUAUACUGAAUGGCAUCAUUCGGUAUUGAAAACUCCGGUGGAUAGAGAUGGGCACGCGCAAGAUUAGAUAGUUGGUGAGGUAACGGCUCACCAAGUCUACGAUCUUUAGGGGGCCUGAGAGGGUGAUCCCCCACACUGGUACUGAGACACGGACCAGACUCCUACGGGAGGCAGCAGUGAGGAAUAUUGGACAAUGGGUGAGAGCCUGAUCCAGCCAUCCCGCGUGAAGGACGACGGCCCUAUGGGUUGUAAACUUCUUUUGUAUAGGGAUAAACCUACCCUCGUGAGGGUAGCUGAAGGUACUAUACGAAUAAGCACCGGCUAACUCCGUGCCAGCAGCCGCGGUAAUACGGAGGGUGCAAGCGUUAUCCGGAUUUAUUGGGUUUAAAGGGUCCGUAGGCGGAUCUGUAAGUCAGUGGUGAAAUCUCACAGCUUAACUGUGAAACUGCCAUUGAUACUGCAGGUCUUGAGUGUUGUUGAAGUAGCUGGAAUAAGUAGUGUAGCGGUGAAAUGCAUAGAUAUUACUUAGAACACCAAUUGCGAAGGCAGGUUACUAAGCAACAACUGACGCUGAUGGACGAAAGCGUGGGGAGCGAACAGGAUUAGAUACCCUGGUAGUCCACGCCGUAAACGAUGCUAACUCGUUUUUGGAAUGUAAGUUUCAGAGACUAAGCGAAAGUGAUAAGUUAGCCACCUGGGGAGUACGAACGCAAGUUUGAAACUCAAAGGAAUUGACGGGGGCCCGCACAAGCGGUGGAUUAUGUGGUUUAAUUCGAUGAUACGCGAGGAACCUUACCAAGGCUUAAAUGGGAAAUGACAGGUUUAGAAAUAGACUUUUCUUCGGACAUUUUUCAAGGUGCUGCAUGGUUGUCGUCAGCUCGUGCCGUGAGGUGUUAGGUUAAGUCCUGCAACGAGCGCAACCCCUGUCACUAGUUGCCAUCAUUAAGUUGGGGACUCUAGUGAGACUGCCUACGCAAGUAGAGAGGAAGGUGGGGAUGACGUCAAAUCAUCACGGCCCUUACGCCUUGGGCCACACACGUAAUACAAUGGCCGGUACAGAGGGCAGCUACACUGCGAAGUGAUGCAAAUCUCGAAAGCCGGUCUCAGUUCGGAUUGGAGUCUGCAACUCGACUCUAUGAAGCUGGAAUCGCUAGUAAUCGCGCAUCAGCCAUGGCGCGGUGAAUACGUUCCCGGGCCUUGUACACACCGCCCGUCAAGCCAUGGAAGUCUGGGGUACCUGAAGUCGGUGACCGUAACAGGAG